AUAUUCUAUCCUCUUCUACAGUCACAUCAGAGAAAGGUAGUUCUUACCAAUGGAGCAGUCUCGAUUCAGCUUGCUACCCUAAUGGAAUUGUUGGCUUUUCCACGGUUUUUAGAUUCCAAGAAAUUGUUCCUCAUGGUUUCCAUGUGCAGAAUCAUAUGGAAACCAUUAGAAACUGGUAUAGCAAAAUUUAACAAAAGAAAGGAGCUUCUUCGACGGUGAUGAAAUUUCCAGACGAAGAACAUUGUACAGUACUCACAAAGAUGUCUCUUAUAAGAGUUCACAAUGUUGAAUGUUUGAACCAGCUAAAGAUACAGAGAGAAAGAGUUAAGAGACACAGAAACAUCGUGGGAACCAAGCAGGCAAUUGACGGUUUUUGCACAAAUUUAGCACCACAAAGCUACAAUUGCUUCUAAGUUACAAAAGUUUUGCAAGUAUGAGCAUCGCGCAAGAAGGAUGUGUUUCUGAACAAAACCGUAAGUACAUUCAUCCUCAAGGAGAUUUUACACUAUCUCGUGUGAAUUCAUUAUCCUACCUAAAGAUAAUACAGCAAAUUAAAGAAGGCUUCAACGAUGAAUACUUGAAAAUCUUCAAGAAGACGUCAAUUGGGCAUUUACUUGAUAUGGAGCCGACCAAAUUAAAUGGUGCAAUUAUUAACUCUUUGCUACGAAGAGUGAUUGAGACUCUUGUAGGUGAUGAUCCAGAUUCUAUGUACUUUUGCAUUGGAGGUAAAGUUGUAAAGUACGGAAUUUGGGAGUCUGCACUCGCGACGGGUUUGAGUUUCAAGGGAAGUGAUGUUAUUCAUUCUCGUGGUUGUGCUGGAUCUGAGCUGAUUAAUAAAUACUUUCUUGGCAACAAAAGUAUCAAGUUGGAAGAGUUGUCAAGAAAAUUUGAUUCUGUCGAGCAGUCGGCAGAUAAAGCGAAACUCGGACUGGUUCUACUACUCCAGGGUGUUUUAAUGGGGGGCGAAUAUGGAAAAGAUGUAAAUCUUGCAUACUUCCACAUGGUAGAAAACAUUGAGAAGUUCAACAAAUUCCCAUGGGGAAAGCUGUGUCAACGGAGGAUGCUGAGAUGUUUUAGAAUUGCUGUCAGCGGGAAAAAGGAGGUGGAGCAAAUUGGAAAGGGUAAGCCUAAUGCAAUAAGCAAGUCAGCUAUUGCCGGGCCUGGAAGCUUUAAAUCUUGGUAUAAUUUGUAUGGUUUCCCAUACGCUUUUCAGGUCUGGGCCUUUGAAAUCAUUCCAAUUCUACGAGAGAGUUUUGCAAGUAGAUUACAACCGAAACAAUUUCCACUUGUGCUGCAUUACUUUUGUGACAGUACACGUCCAGAGUCUUCUGCAGUUGAAAAUAUACUGACAUCUAAGAUUGAAGUCCUGGCUUGCAUAAAACCCACAGAGAGGGAGAUGUCGUCAAAGCACAUGGGAUCUGUCCUCCUGAUGUCUGUUGACUUAUCAGAAUCAGAGGAUGAUGAUGAAGACAAAGCCGAGGAGAUGGAGAUAUCGAUGGAAAUGCAAUCUGCAAAUGAAACCUGGGAGGCAGCUAAGGGUAAGGAUGAUGAUUCAGAAACACAAGCACCCCAAUCCUGUUCUAACCAGGAUACCCAGCUUUUGGGAGAGGUUUUUGCACAGGUUAAGGAACUCACAUCAAAGGUUUCCAGAAUGGACAAAGAGAUGUCAAAACUUAAGGAAGAUGACAACGGCAAUAACCAGGCUUCUAUAAAGAUGCAGGAGGUUAUAGAUGAAGAUGAGAGGCUGAAAGGCCUUGCGAAUGACUUGGGUGAGGAGGUGUACGAGGCCGCCAUAACUGUUUUUUCGGAGAUGAAUGACUACAGUCUGAGCGGAAGGUAUAGUAUUCCUGAAUGGAGGAACUUUAAGAAUGGUGGAAUGGAGAUAUUGAAGGAAGUUGCUUCAUUUACGCUGGAACAGUGGAGGACCCUUAAGAAAACAUUUGAAAAUGAUAAAGAAAUCAAGAGUCUGGAAACGAAAAUGAAAGAAAUGGAGUACGAGAGUAAGAACUUGAUGUAUCAGAAUGAUGAGCUACGUAAACAUUAUAAUAAAGAAAUAAACAAGAUGCAACAGAACCAUAAGAAUCAUUUGGAAAGGAUCAAUAGGGAGCAUGAAGAUCUUAAGUCGGAAAUGGAAUCGCAAAGGAAAGAGAGGGAGGUACGCGAAAUGGUAUUGCGGAUUGCUGCAGAGAAAAAGUUUAUCCUCUUCCUGUAAUAGAAGAGGAUCUUCUCAAGAAAAGAACUGAACUGGAAAAAGAUAGGGCUGGAGGUAAACUGGAAUUAGAAUUUGAGGUAUCCAGCUAUAAGAUAAAAGGUGUGUGUGAGAAACCGGAAAAAAAGGAAAGACAACAUGAAUAUCUUGAAGAUCUGAACCAAAUCCUUAUUGCCAAGGAGCGGAAAAGCAAUGAUGAGCUGCAGGAAGCUCGUAAAGAACUGACCAGGAGAAUGGGAGAGCUUGAAAUGAAACCAUUUUAUGAGAUGUGCAAAGAGAAAUAUUGUAGUGAUGAAGCAUAUGUGAAAGCCGUAGAGAUCUGCACCUCCUGGGAAGCAUGUCUUACAGACCCACAUUGGCAUCCUUUUAAAAUCAUUGAAGUUGGAAAUAACCAUCAGGAGACAAUAAAUGAAGACAAUGAGAAGCUGAGAGGCCUUAGAAACGAGUUUGGUGAGGAAAUAUACAGGGCUGUCACAACCGCCAUCCUGGAGAUGAAUGAGUACAAUGCAAGCGGGAGGUUUGUUGUUUCGGAACUUUGGAACUUCAAGGAGGGGAGGAAGGCGUCAUUGAAGGAAGUAGUAUCUCAUAUACUGAAACAGUUGAAGACCCUUAAGCGGAAGAGGACCUGAUGUUAUUGUUAUGGGUAUAUUUCAAACUUACAGAAAGAAUGUUGUGCUGAAAUUGGAUGUAAAUGUAGAGAAACUUGAAGUUGGUGCAAGCAGCAUGGAUAUCCUCAAGGCCAUAAUGUUAUUCUCUGCCCCCACAUUGUUCUCCCCUUUCUAUCUUUAGCGGGAGGUCUGUAUGUGGUUUUAGCAGAGGCAGUUGUCAUAUUUAUGGUCGUAAUAUUUCGAAAUAUAUCACCAAGUUGUAAGCUUAUGUUUUAGAGCGGGGAAUGUAGCUAACACACUAGUGGUUUGUUUUAUUACAUUCAUCUGUCUAUUCUCCUUCAAAUUACAUAGAAACUUUGCGAGACUUGGAAUUGAACGAGUUUAGAUAGUAAAAAUUGAAUAAUUU
Molecule: RNA transcript, 3223 nt
Organism: Papaver somniferum (opium poppy)
Lineage: Eukaryota; Viridiplantae; Streptophyta; Magnoliopsida; Ranunculales; Papaveraceae
Exons: 11
Source: RefSeq, a predicted model, not a curated record